This 230-nucleotide ribosomal RNA is filed under the name uncultured bacterium. RNAcentral describes it as "partial 16S ribosomal RNA". It matches the Rfam family "Bacterial small subunit ribosomal RNA", at positions 28 to 247 of the family's 1533-position model. The record is from RNAcentral.
GACGAACGCUGGCGGCGUGCUUAACACAUGCAAGUCGAGCGGUAAGGCCCUUCGGGUACACGAGCGGCGAACGGGUGAGUAACACGUGGGUGACCUGCCCUUCACUCUGGGAUAAGCCUGGGAAACUAGGGUCUAAUACCGGAUAUGACCUGCUCUCGCAUGGGGGUUGGUGGAAAGUCAGUAUUGUAGUGAUGCUGGCGGUGGGGGAUGGGCCCGCGGUCUAUCAGCUU